GGGAAUGUUUUAUCACCUCUACAAUCAGGUAGCCACAAACACCCUUGAGAGGGUGGCACCUCUUACACACGCAGUUGGAAAUGUGUUGAAACGUGUGUUCGUGAUUGGAUUCUCUAUUGUUAUCUUCGGUAAUAAAAUUUCAACACAAACCGGUAUUGGAACCUGCAUUGCAAUUGCUGGAGUUGCAAUCUACUCUUUCAUUAAGGCCAAGAUGGAAGAAGAGAAAAGGCAAAAGAAAGCCGCCUGAAAAUGAAGGAACGCGGUAUCAGGAAGAAGGUUGUGAUGGACUCUGUGUUGAUUUUUCACUAUUUUCUCCUGUCCAAAUAAAAGAUGAAGAAGGGAAACCUCUGCUUUUCUUGGAGUUCUGUAGUUUAGUUUGGAGUCAAUUGUUUUGAUUCAAAGGUCAAUUGCCUGCUAAUUUCUGUAUACUUGUGAUUAUUGUAAUAAUAAUAAUAAUAAUGUACCAACUUCUAUAAAUAUUUCAUUCCCUUACAUCUUGA
RNAcentral lists this unclassified non-coding RNA (500 nucleotides) under Hevea brasiliensis (rubber tree). The record is from RNAcentral. Lineage: Eukaryota; Viridiplantae; Streptophyta; Magnoliopsida; Malpighiales; Euphorbiaceae.